AUUGAACGCUGGCGGCAGGCCUAACACAUGCAAGUCGAACGAGUGGCGGACGGGUGAGUAAUGUCUGGGAAACUGCCUGAUGGAGGGGGAUAACUACUGGAAACGGUAGCUAAUACCGCAUACCAUCGGAUGUGCCCAUAUGGGAUUAGCUUGUUGGUGGGGUAACGGCUCACCAAGGCGACGAUCCCUAGCUGGUCUGAGAGGAUGACCAGCCCCACUGGAACUGAGACACGGCCCAUACUCCUACGGGAGGCAGCAGUGGGGAAUAUUGCACAAUGGGCGCAAGCCUGAUGCAGCCAUGCCGCGUGUAUGAAGAAGGCCUUCGGGUUGUAAAGUACUUUCAGCGGGGAGGCGUUACCCGCAGAAGAAGCACCGGCUAACUCCGUGCCAGCAGCCGCGGUAAUUC
Molecule: ribosomal RNA, 406 nt
Filed under: uncultured bacterium
Lineage: Bacteria
Description: partial 16S ribosomal RNA
Rfam family: Bacterial small subunit ribosomal RNA
Source: RNAcentral